AAAGACAACAGAACGGAGAGAUGCCAUGGUCGUGAAGGUGGUUUUCCCAGGCUAGGCUUAUCCAUGGUACUCCAGAUGUGCUGACACCUUUGAUUUUCCCAAAUGUAGGAAACUGGACUACGUAAUUUGUGGUAGUGGGGGACUACGUUCAUGUUCUGUCCUG
RNAcentral lists this small nuclear RNA (163 nucleotides) under Aotus nancymaae (Ma's night monkey). Its description in RNAcentral is "U1 spliceosomal RNA (ENSANAG00000019810.1)". It matches the Rfam family "U1 spliceosomal RNA". From Rfam's summary of the family: U1 is a small nuclear RNA (snRNA) component of the spliceosome (involved in pre-mRNA splicing). Its 5' end forms complementary base pairs with the 5' splice junction, thus defining the 5' donor site of an intron. Lineage: Eukaryota; Metazoa; Chordata; Mammalia; Primates; Aotidae. The record is from RNAcentral.